Molecule: ribosomal RNA, 898 nt
Filed under: uncultured bacterium
Lineage: Bacteria
Description: bacterial SSU rRNA
Rfam family: Bacterial small subunit ribosomal RNA
Source: RNAcentral
UGGAGGCUGGAAAAGAGCUGUGUCUGCUAAACAUGCAGUAACGGGAAAGAGGUAGCAAUAUCUCGAGUACAGUGGCGCACGGGUGAGUAGCGCGUGGGUAACCUACCCUUGGGUUGGGGAUAACUCCUCGAAAGGGGUGCUAAUACCGGGUAAUAUUCUGGUUUCUUCGGAGAUUAGAAUCAAAGGGGGCCUCUGCAUGCAAGCUUCCGCCCAGGGAUGGGCCCGCGUACCAUUAGCUAGUUGGUAGGGUAACGGCCUACCAAGGCAACGAUGGUUAGCUGGUCUGAGAGGAUGGCCAGCCACACUGGAACUGAGAUACGGUCCAGACUCCUACGGGAGGCAGCAGUGGGGAAUCUUGCGCAAUGGGGGAAACCCUGACGCAGCAACGCCGCGUGGGUGAUGAAGGCCUUCGGGUCGUAAAGCCCUGUCAGGUGGAAAGAACCGUGUCGGUACGAACAAUACCGACGCUUGACGGUACCACCGGAGGAAGCACCGGCUAACUCCGUGCCAGCAGCCGCGGUAAUACGGAGGGUGCAAGCGUUGUUCGGAAUUACUGGGCGUAAAGCGCGUGUAGGCGGUCAGGCAAGUCAGAUGUGAAAGCCUUUCGCUUAACGAAAGAAUUGCAUUUGAAACUACCUGGCUGGAGUUCGGGAGAGGAGAGUGGAAUUCCCGGUGUAGAGGUGAAAUUCGUAGAUAUCGGGAGGAACACCGGUGGCGAAGGCGGCUCUCUGGUCCGAUACUGACGCUGAGACGCGAAAGCGUGGGGAGCAAACAGGAUUAGAUACCCUGGUAGUCCACGCGGUAAACGAUGGGCACUAGGUGUAGGAGGUAUUGACCCCUUCUGUGCCGAAGCUAACGCAUUAAGUGCCCCAGCCUGGAGAGUACGGCCGCAAGGCUA